CAGGGUUAGAGCUCACCCAGAUGAUCUCAUCUAAACCCAAUACUUUGGCAACAACCCUAUUUCCAAAUAAGGUCACAUCCUGCAGUGGGGGCGGUGGUGGGGGAGGGCCGUGGUUAGGAAUUCCACAUGUAAAUUUUAGGGGGACACAAUUCCGCCCAUCACAGGGAUAUGAGCUGAAAGAAUAUCUUGGCCAAAUUAUUCCAUCCCACCAGCAUCAGGAGAAGGGAACCAAACUGUAUCAGAGAGCUCCACAGGAAACCCAGUGUGGGAGUAGGGAGGCAUUUCCCCACCAGCUCUGCAGUGAAGCAGAUCUCCCUGGAUGCUCUCCCCGUAGCAGCACAGCCCACGGCAGCCAGGACUGCAGGGUAGACGGAGAAUCAUUUGAAAGAAAACCUUCUUGGCUGCAGAUUGCACACAUAUUUUUGAACAUCUCAGAGUAAAAAGGAAUGGUUCAAGUCGCUUGUCAAAUCUAAGCGGAUGCAAAAUUUAUAUAUGUGUGCCCACCUGCCUCCCCCACCACCGGAGUGUAAAGCUCUCCCUUGGAAGAAUGUCAGUAGUGACAACAGGUCAAUCUAUGCAGCUGUGGUGUAAAUCUUCCCUGAAAUCAACUGCACGCAUGUGUUCGUCCUCCCUGGGGGCCUGCGGCCGAAUAAGGCAGGCUGUGUGACUGUGUCCCUGACUGGCUCCCUGCCCCCCACCCCCUCUCGGUGCAAACCCGUCCGGCAAGCUGCCGUCGCUGGCAUCCUCCAGGGGCUUAACCAGCAAUAAGCCAUCUCCACAGAGAAGGACAUGUGAGGGCUUCGAGCUCCAUCCUGUGACACGCGCUGGGCGUGAAGAGCAGUUGCUUCUCCUUGGCUUUGGAGACCCUCCCUAUUCGGUCACAAUCCUGCCUUCCAAAGACCCCUUCCCUCCACCAGUGUACCUGAGCCACCCCGCCCCCUUCCAGCUUCCCAGACCCGCUGCGACCUCCUGCUGUAAACUUCCCUGUGAUCUGAACCUCUUCUUCCCAGCGCUCUUCCCCAUCCUUCAGUGCGUCUUCCUCAUUGGUUAACUGAAGUGUCUGGCAGAUAGGGGCUUCGAAAAUGUUCGCUCACUGCAGGAGAGAGGGCUUUAGCAGCCCAGUCUGAGUGUUUCAUUUAGCUGUUUGCUCAACACGGCAGGACGGUUCCAGGCCAGGCUAACCCUAACCGUUGUUUUCUCUACCUGGGAUGCCCUUACCUCUGCCCCACAAUCCACAUCCUAUUUACCCAUCCUACUGGGCUCAUUCUCCUCUCCAAAGCCACCCCUCUUGCCUAACCCAUUAGAUCCAGUGGGAGUUUUCCCUUUUUUUUUUUUUUUUAAAGAUUUUAUUUAUUUAUUUGACAGACAGAGAUCACAAGCAGGCAGAGGCAGACAGAGAGAGAGGGAAGGGGAAGCAGGCUCCCCGCUGAAUAGAGAGCCCAGUGCGGGGCUCGAUCCCAGGACCCCAAGAUCAUGACCUGAGCAGAAGGCAGAAGCUUUAACCCACUGAGCCACCCAGGCGCCCCAAGUUUUGCCUCUUCUAAAUUCCUGGCGUUCUCAUUGCUCAGGGACCUAGGCCUUAAUCACAUACUUCCCUGCAGGGAGACCUGAAUUUUCCUGGGUUCCCUUAUCAGAUCUGUAUCCACCUCCCCCAGUUCCUCAGGGUCCUGACAGUUGCUGAGCACAGACCAGCUGCUCAAACAUGUCUGAUGGCAAUUGGGCACUUUCUACCUCUCCAAUUCCCCAUAUCCUGUCUGUCAUUCAAAGUCCCGCUCAAGCCCAGCUUCCUCCAUGGUGGCUCUGUGGAUGAUGCCCCACACUGAUCCACAGCUGGCCCUGAGGCCACACUUUCUGUAUCUCACACACCUGUGGGAUGACAUGUCCGGGCACCAAUCCCAGCGUGUAUGCAUAUUCCAUAACUUGUGACCUUUGUGUGUGCCCAGCUGUGUCCUGGCUCUCUGGGUCCCUGGUGUACUCCCAGGUAACAUGCACCCCCACUGAGGCCCUCUUGAGCUGACACUUCUUUCGUUCAUCCAGACACACAUCCAGAAUACUCAAGGCCCAGAAUGUGUGACUGGGUGCCUACUGCCCUCUCAGGAUGACCUUCUGUGUGAGUCACAACUUCUGCUCCUGGAGUUUGAUCCACACACUUCUCAGUAUGGAAGGCUGACAGCAGAGCUCUUUGAGACCAAGUCACCCACCACCAGGAGACUGAGCAUUUCUGGAGCACAGAGAGAUGCUCUUAGUCCAAAGAAGGCUCACUGUGCCCGGCACAUAGUAGAAAGUCAGUAUGCCUUGAAAUAGAAUAAAAACAACCAUGAUCCUUGAUGGUAAGUGUCCUACUCCAGCAUCUCCAAACGUUGGCUUAUCCACCUUGUAAAACAAUUUUGAAAAUCUAUGUACUCAUCCACACAUUUUUACAUUGACAUCUAAAAUUUUUCACACGUUUUAAAAAUAGGUUUUACUAAUAGGAGACAGGAAAUGUUAACUAUUAUGUAUGUUGAAAUGAGAUGAGGAUUGACUAUCGUUUGAAUCAAUAUUUUAUAUUAUUGGAUAAAAUAAAUUUUCAUUACUUUACUGAAUAAAGCCUGUAUAGCUCGAGGAUAGCAGGUGAAAUUUUUUUUUGUGUGUUUGAUUGAUUGUA
This 2644-nucleotide long non-coding RNA is filed under the name Mustela putorius furo (domestic ferret). RNAcentral describes it as "lncRNA (ENSMPUG00000025371.1)". Lineage: Eukaryota; Metazoa; Chordata; Mammalia; Carnivora; Mustelidae. The record is from RNAcentral.